Molecule: ribosomal RNA, 896 nt
Filed under: Stenotrophomonas maltophilia
Lineage: Bacteria; Pseudomonadati; Pseudomonadota; Gammaproteobacteria; Lysobacterales; Lysobacteraceae
Description: bacterial LSU rRNA
Rfam family: Bacterial large subunit ribosomal RNA
Source: RNAcentral
ACCUGGUGAACUGAAAUAUCUAAGUAACCAGAGGAAAAGAAAUCAACCGAGAUUCCGUCAGUAGCGACGAGCGAACGCGGACUAGCCCUUAAGCUGGAUUGGUUCUAGGAAAACACUCUGGAAAGAGUGGCCAUAGAAGGUGACAGCCCUGUAUCUGAAAGGGCCAUUCCAGUGAAGACGAGUAGGGCGGGGCACGUGAAACCCUGUCUGAACAUGGGGGGACCAUCCUCCAAGGCUAAAUACUACUGACCGACCGAUAGUGAACCAGUACCGUGAGGGAAAGGCGAAAAGAACCCCGGAGAGGGGAGUGAAAUAGAACCUGAAACCGUGUGCGUACAAGCAGUAGGAGCUCCGCAAGGAGUGACUGCGUACCUUUUGUAUAAUGGGUCAGCGACUUACUGUUCGUGGCAAGCUUAACCGUAUAGGGGAGGCGAAGGGAAACCGAGUCUGAUAAGGGCGCAUAGUCGCGGGCAGUAGACCCGAAACCGGGUGAUCUAGUCAUGCCCAGGGUGAAGGUGCGGUAACACGCACUGGAGGCCCGAACCCACUCCCGUUGCAAAGGUAGGGGAUGAGGUGUGAUUAGGAGUGAAAAGCUAAUCGAACCCGGAGAUAGCUGGUUCUCCUCGAAAGCUAUUUAGGUAGCGCCUCAUAUGUAUCCUCUCGGGGGUAGAGCACUGUUAUGGCUAGGGGGUCAUCGCGACUUACCAAACCAUUGCAAACUCCGAAUACCGAGACGGACUGUAUGGGAGACACACGGCGGGUGCUAACGUCCGUCGUGAAAAGGGAAACAACCCAGACCCACAGCUAAGGUCCCAAAUUCAGUGCUAAGUGGAAAACCAUGUGGAAAGGCACAGACAGCCAGGAGGUUGGCUUUAGAAGCAGCCACCCUUUAAAGA